RNAcentral lists this unclassified non-coding RNA (209 nucleotides) under plant metagenome. Its description in RNAcentral is "partial contains small subunit ribosomal RNA, internal transcribed spacer 1, and 5.8S ribosomal RNA". The record is from RNAcentral.
UCUCCGUUGGUGAACCAGCGGAGGGAUCAUUACUGGAAUCGCAAGAUCCCACAACCCUGUGAACCUACCGAAACGUUGCCUCGGCGGGUGCCCGGCCUCUGCGCCGGGCGCUGCGCCCGCCGGCGGCCCCCUACUCUGUCUCUGCAGCGUGGCAUCUCAGAGUCCCCGAAAACAAGUCAAAACUUUCAACAACGGAUCUCUUGGCUCUA